AUACAGAAUGGUGAUCAUGUUUUAAAAAUGCCCGCAAACGACAUUUCCACCACCUACCCAGUAUAGGUAGUUUGUGAAAAGUCACCACAAGUUAAUGGACCUCCAUCUUCACAAUUCAAUUCCCUUUUGUUUCAGAUCGUGGCGACGUCAGUGGGAUUCUGGAUGCCCCAGAGGUGAUCAUCAAUGGCGUCAUAUUUACCAGCAAGUGGUGCCAUAUCUGUAAGGUCUACCGUCCCCCAAGAUGUCGACACUGCUACAGCUGUGAUGUGUGUGCAGAGAUACCUCAUUGCAGCUGGAAUGAACACAUAUGAGCAGAUUAUGAGGACAUAUAAACAUGAAAGGAAUCCAUUUGAUAAAGG
Long non-coding RNA from Amblyraja radiata (thorny skate), 359 nucleotides. RefSeq lists it as uncharacterized. The transcript has 3 exons. The record is from RefSeq and is a predicted model, not a curated record. NCBI's taxonomy places the organism in Eukaryota, Metazoa, Chordata, Chondrichthyes, Rajiformes, Rajidae.